RNAcentral lists this transfer RNA (85 nucleotides) under Methanogenium marinum. It matches the Rfam family "tRNA". From Rfam's summary of the family: Transfer RNA (tRNA) molecules are approximately 80 nucleotides in length. The record is from Rfam by way of RNAcentral. Lineage: Archaea; Methanobacteriati; Methanobacteriota; Methanomicrobia; Methanomicrobiales; Methanomicrobiaceae.
GCUGAGGUAGUCUAGUCUGGUAGGGCGCAGGCCUGGAAAGCCUGUGGGGACUUUCCCCUCGGGAGUUCAAAUCUCCCCCUCAGCG